This is a long non-coding RNA of Ruditapes philippinarum (Manila clam), 1240 nucleotides long. RefSeq lists it as uncharacterized. The record is from RefSeq and is a predicted model, not a curated record. NCBI's taxonomy places the organism in Eukaryota, Metazoa, Mollusca, Bivalvia, Venerida, Veneridae. The transcript has 3 exons.
UUUUGGAAUGUUUGACAUGAGCUGUUAUGUGUAUAUUUAGAAACUGGAAUAUAUUAAGAUUGUUUUUAUGAAACUUUUAUAAUAAACAAAAGUAUCGUUUUACAAUUUAUGACAGUUGGUUAUGAUAUAUAUUUAGUUGACAGUGUUAAUAUUUUACAUUGGCUUCAACCAACACAUAUUUUUUUCAAAAACACUUGGUAUAAUUUGGCUGCUUGAGACUUGUAAAUCAAAAGAGUGUACGAUUUAUGUUAAAAAUAUUUGACAAUGGUGUGGGGAGGAACCUGGGGUAAUGGUGGAUUUGGUAACACGGGUGGAAGCCAUAACAGUCACAGCCAUAGGCACCCAAAUGGUCAACACGUACAUCAUUGUAGCGCCCAUCACGUGGUUUUCGGGGGACAUGGAGUGUUCGGGACUCAUUAUGAAGAACAUUGCCCUGGAUGUCGUAGAGAUAGAUCGCUUCAUUCAUGGAACAGUAGCCAUAAAGGAAGUGCAGCUCUUGGUCUCUUGUCGCUGUUUUACGGUGGAAAAUUAGCCAGGAAAAGCUUGUGGGACUGAAAACGUGAAUAAGGUCAUUUAGAGAAGAGUUUUAUUAAGCUUUAUACAAAACUUGAGAACGAACCUUAUUCAUUCACGUACUGUUCAUAACAUUUGACAGAUUUACUUCUAUCAUUGAUUUGUCGUUGCCGUAACAACUCCGUACUUCGGAAUUCUACAAUCUUAUAAUCUUGUCUGUAUGUGUAAAUGAAACGAUUUGAUAUUGCAAAAUAUAAUAUACAUGUAUGACAUGUAUAAUGAAAAUAUGUCUCACCUAGACAUUAUUUAUAAAUGAAGAACUAAACUAGUAUUCAUUCAUAUUUUACAGAACAAAUUCUUUUAUUCACUGUAUGUAUGCCCCGUUUGUAGAACGUAAGAAACUAUUAUAAAAUGUGUCGUGUCUUCUUUUUUGUAGUUUGGAACGUUUUCAGCAAUACCAUUUAAUAACCUUUACAUUUCAAACGGAACUAAAAAGAUACGAAUGAGAUACAAAUUUAUUAUAUCAAAAAUCGAUUCUGAUUUUCAUGCUGAUACAAAACUCACCUUUUUAUUUCAUGCUAUACAUGUGACUGAUUUGUUUAUUGUAUGAUUACAAACUUCUUUGUAAACAUAUCAUGUUAUUAAAUGUUUGAUUCAAGUGUUGUUGGGCUUUUGUUGCCGUUAUUGUUUUGAUUUUACAAAAAAAUAAACCCUCAAACUAUAAAAA